Molecule: ribosomal RNA, 959 nt
Filed under: Microbacterium sp. MVC12
Lineage: Bacteria; Bacillati; Actinomycetota; Actinomycetes; Micrococcales; Microbacteriaceae
Description: bacterial SSU rRNA
Rfam family: Bacterial small subunit ribosomal RNA
Source: RNAcentral
CCACAUGCAGUCGAACGGUGAAAGCGGAGCUUGCUCCUGCUGGAUCAGUGGCGAACGGGUGAGUAACACGUGAGCAAUCUGCCCCUGACUCUGGGAUAAGCGCUGGAAACGGCGUCUAAUACCGGAUACGAGCUGCGAAGGCAUCUUCAGCAGCUGGAAAGAAUUUCGGUCAGGGAUGAGCUCGCGGCCUAUCAGCUAGUUGGUGAGGUAACGGCUCACCAAGGCGUCGACGGGUAGCCGGCCUGAGAGGGUGACCGGCCACACUGGGACUGAGACACGGCCCAGACUCCUACGGGAGGCAGCAGUGGGGAAUAUUGCACAAUGGGCGAAAGCCUGAUGCAGCAACGCCGCGUGAGGGACGACGGCCUUCGGGUUGUAAACCUCUUUUAGCAGGGAAGAAGCGAAAGUGACGGUACCUGCAGAAAAAGCGCCGGCUAACUACGUGCCAGCAGCCGCGGUAAUACGUAGGGCGCAAGCGUUAUCCGGAAUUAUUGGGCGUAAAGAGCUCGUAGGCGGUUUGUCGCGUCUGCUGUGAAAACCCGAGGCUCAACCUCGGGCCUGCAGUGGGUACGGGCAGACUAGAGUGCGGUAGGGGAGAUUGGAAUUCCUGGUGUAGCGGUGGAAUGCGCAGAUAUCAGGAGGAACACCGAUGGCGAAAGGCAGAUCUCUGGGCCGUAACUGACGCUGAGGAGCGAAAGGGUGGGGGAGCAAACAGGCUUAGAUACCCUGGUAGUCCACCCCGUAAACGUUGGGAACUAGUUGUGGGGACCAUUCCACGGUUUCCGUGACGCAGCUAACGCAUUAAGUUCCCCGCCUGGGGAGUACGGCCGCAAGGCUAAAACUCAAAGGAAUUGACGGGGACCCGCACAAGCGGCGGAGCAUGCGGAUUAAUUCGAUGCAACGCGAGAACCUUACCAAGGCUUGACAUAUACGAGAACGGGCCAGAAAUGGUCAACUCU